RNAcentral lists this ribosomal RNA (482 nucleotides) under uncultured bacterium. Its description in RNAcentral is "bacterial SSU rRNA". It matches the Rfam family "Bacterial small subunit ribosomal RNA", at positions 15 to 518 of the family's 1533-position model. The record is from RNAcentral.
GAUUAUGGCUCAGGAUGAACGCUGGCGGCGUGCCUAACACAUUCAAGUCGAACGAACUGUAGAAAUACAGUGAGUGGCGGACGGGUGAGUAACGCGUAAGCAAUCUGCCUUUGCGUGUGGAAUAACAACCGGAAACAGUUGCUAAUACCGCAUAACGCACAGAGAUCGCAUGGUUUUUGUGCCAAAGAUUUAUCGCACGAAGAUGAGCUUGCGUCCGAUUAGAUAGUUGGCGGGGUAACGGCCACCAAGUCGACGAUCGGUAGCCGGACUGAGAGGUUGAACGGCCACAUUGGAACUGAGAUACGGUCCAGACUCCUACGGGAGGCAGCAGUGGGGAAUAUUGGGCAAUGGACGAAAGUCUGAACCCCAGCGACGCCGCGUGAGGGAAGAAGGUCUUCGGAUUGUAAACCUUAGUCAACAGGGACGAAGCAAGUGACGGUACCUGUGGAGGAAGCCACGGCUAACUACGUGCCAGCCGCUGC